UGAGGAAUAUUGGUCAAUGGGCGAGAGCCUGAACCAGCCAAGUCGCGUGAGGGAAGACGGUCCUACGGAUUGUAAACCUCUUUUGUCGGGGAGUAAUAGGCGGGACGUGUCCUGCUGUGAGAGUACCCGAAGAAAAAGCAUCGGCUAACUCCGUGCCAGCAGCCGCGGUAAUACGGAGGAUGCGAGCGUUAUCCGGAUUUAUUGGGUUUAAAGGGAGCGUAGGCGGAGAGAUAAGUCAGCGGUAAAAAUCGUGCGGCUCAACCGUACCUCGCCGUUGAUACUGUUUUUCUUGAGUGCACACAGGGAUGCUGGAAUUCGUCGUGUAGCGGUGAAAUCUUAGAUAUGACGAAGAACUCCGAUCGCGAAGGCAGGUGUCCGGGGUGCAACUGACGCUGAGGCUCGAAAGUGCGGG
Molecule: ribosomal RNA, 412 nt
Filed under: uncultured Barnesiella sp.
Lineage: Bacteria; Pseudomonadati; Bacteroidota; Bacteroidia; Bacteroidales; Barnesiellaceae
Description: bacterial SSU rRNA
Rfam family: Bacterial small subunit ribosomal RNA
Source: RNAcentral